UACGUAGGGGGCAAGCGUUGUCCGGAAUCAUUGGGCGUAAAGCGCGUGUAGGCGGCUCGAUAAGUCUGCUGUGAAAGUUCAGGGCUCAACCCUGAAAUGCCGGUGGAAACUGUCGAGCUAGAGUCCGGAAGAGGCGAGUGGAAUUCCUGGUGUAGCGGUGAAAUGCGCAGAUAUCAGGAGGAACACCAAUGGCGAAGGCAGCUCGCUGGGACGGUACUGACGCUGAGACGCGAAAGCGUGAGGAGCGAACAGG
RNAcentral lists this ribosomal RNA (253 nucleotides) under uncultured bacterium. RNAcentral's name for it is "partial 16S ribosomal RNA". It matches the Rfam family "Bacterial small subunit ribosomal RNA", at positions 524 to 776 of the family's 1533-position model. The record is from RNAcentral.